Molecule: ribosomal RNA, 253 nt
Filed under: uncultured bacterium
Lineage: Bacteria
Description: partial 16S ribosomal RNA
Rfam family: Bacterial small subunit ribosomal RNA
Source: RNAcentral
UACGAGGGGUCCAAGCGUUGCUCGGAAUCACUGGGCGUAAAGCGGGUGUAGGUGGCUUUGUAAGUCAGGAGUGAAAGCCCUGGGCUCAACCCAGGAAGUGCUUUUGAUACUACAAAGCUUGAGUGUGGGAGAGGAUCGUGGAAUUCCAGGUGUAGUGGUGAAAUACGUAGAUAUCUGGAGGAACACCGGUGGCGAAGGCGGCGAUCUGGCCUAACACUGACACUCAGACCCGAAAGUGCGGGGAUCAAACAGG